AUUAUCAACACCCUUCCCAUCACAAGAUACGUGAUCCUCUUGUCCCACCUAUUCAGACGUGCCAACUAGAUACUAUCCCUCAUCCUCACUUGUCUCAAUUACACAUUUUUUUAGACCACUAUCAUCCGCGUGGCAGCCUGGUAAUGUUUGAUUUGAAUUUUAUUCCUCAAAAGUUCCAAAAUGACUCUGCACCCCCCAAAAGUACCUUUUGAAUCCCAUCACAAGUCACCCCCUAGUCAACCUUUGCCAGUUCAUAUGCAAUGUGGGCCUCCUCGUGAUCAGUAUCCCUUGAACAUUUUGAACAACCACUUUCCACCGAGAAUGCAUCAGACUCUUCCACUUCCACCAGCCAUCGUACACCACCACACUCAAGCAACGAGCCCUCCACCAAACAACCAUCCUUCUCCUGCAUCAAAACUUCACCUUCAUCCUGCUCCUCUACAACCCACACCUUAAAAUUAGCACCCAUCACACCAAUCCUUCCCACCUAUGAGUGGAAAUUUGAAUUCUUGCCCUAUCAAGCCUUUCCAUUGAUGCAGUCUCCUCAUCAUAGUCAAGAAAAUCUCCGAACAAAGAUCCCACCUUUAUGAAGAAGCUUUCCUCCCACACAUGAAGAGGAAUUCCCACUACUGCAAAUCAGGGGGUACAAGACAUGAUUUUUAAAGUUUUAAGACCUGUUUUCAACCGGGGUUAUAUCAGCAAGUGUUGUAAGUUUGACAUAUGAUGCCUGUUUUUCAUCUGGUAUAAAAAUAACUUAUUGUAUCUGUUUUGUAAGUGUAAUAUUUGUAUUUAUCACACUUGUUUUGCACAAAAAUAUGUGUAAAAAUGAACAAAUUCAAUAUCUAUAUUAGUAUUAAAGCGGUGUGAAAUGUGACUUUUUAUUUAAAAAAGGAGAAAACUUAGGUAAAGUACCAUAUGUGCUGGUGGUCCUUGUUAUACCCUGUUUUUGGACCUAAAAAUACUGGGCCCAAUUUCAUUUCAAACUUUGUCGAUUAUCAAAUUUCAACUGCACAGUUCAAAUUGUCUCUGCCUCGCAGUAUUUUCAAUCACAAUUUUACCUAUGUUUUUCUUGCAUAAAACCUUUCAAAAUGUCUUUACUUGUCUUGUGAGUCAUUCAAAAGUGUCUCUGAAUCAUUACAUUGCUUUUUCUACAGUUUAUUUCAAAAUUUGCAAAAAGUCAUACAGAAGGGUAUUUUGGUCAUUUCCUGUAGUGGGACCUAUUUUCAUCCUUGUGACUGUCUCUGAGUCUUUUCAGAUUAUUUUUAAACAUUUCAUCAGUAGACCUUGUUAAAAUUCAUUUCAAACUUGCAUCUGAGUCAGUGUCGAGUCAAUUUGAUUCUGUUUAGGUCAUUUUUAGCCCUAGGGGCAUUUUGGUCAUUUCACAUAAAAUUUUGGCAUGGGGAGGUUACUUUGAAGUACCUCAUUUAGGCCAUUGGUUCGUUUUAGUCCGUUUUGUCAAUUUUAUUUUGGUUUCACUUUACGUUUGAUCAAAUUGCGUUUUUUAUUCAAAUUUUAUUUUUUAUUGCAUUUUGGUCCCUCAAUUAAGGUCCCAAAAUUGCAUUUCAGUCCAAAAGUUUCUAAAAAUUGCAUUUCAGUCCUUUUUUAUUAUUUUUUUUGCAGAAAAGGUCCCAGGGGCAUUUUUGUCCAGAAUUUUCGCACAUUUUAGUCCAGUCCAGAUGUCACUUUUUUAUUGGUUCAGGUACACAUGGCAGCAUAUAAAAGGGGAACAGUGUCAGAUUUUUUCAGGGAUCCAUUCAUUACAAUACACAUCACCAAAAACAAAUUCCCAUUUUCUCUCUCUUUUCUGUUAGAUCAAAAACAGAAAUUUCUCAAGAACAAAACAGAACCCUAACCGAAAUUCAUCAUCAAAUUCUCAGAGAUUCGUGUACGAAUCUUCAUCAUCGAAUCGAUUCCACCGCAAUACAAGGUGCGAAUUCCUCACCGGAAGUGAAGAACUCAAGCACCGAUCACGGUAGGGAAAAAGAGGGAAAACCGAAUCUGCACAGAGGAAGGAGAAGAAGACAGAAUCAAAGAAACAGCAAGCAAAACGCGCACGCAAGCAAGCACACGCGCAAGCCAGCAAGCAAGCAAGCAAAACGCGCACGCAAGCAAGCACGCACGCAAGCCAGCAGGCAAGCGAGCAAGCACGCGAAGCACAAGCAGCAAGAGCCGUAACAGAAAACAAGAAGAGGUAAGCAUCCUCUUCGUUCGCAUCUCUUCCUUUUUCCACCGUUCUUUUACAAAAAUUUCAUCAAGAUUCAAACUCAGAUCUACUCCGAUUCAAGCUUUUUUCGAAAAAUCUAAGUUCGGAUUCGAGAAGUAUAUAAAAAAGGAUAUCUAAAAAUGUGAAAAUUUCUCGAAUCGGAGCAUUUUGAUUUUCCGGCACGGUGGCGCCGCCGCCAUCCGCCGCGCCGGAACGGAGGAGCUGGCCGGAGAAGAUGACCGGAAAGUUAGAGAGAAGGAGGAGCUUCUCUCUCUAAAAGAGAGAAGAAAGAGAAAGAGGAGUAACAAAUGAAAAAAAACCGGACUUGAAGCAUAUAUAUAGAGCUUUGAACCGGUCCGGUUUAUUUUCGGUUUUUUCCUUUUCUUUCUCAGCCUCUAGAUCAAUCCAACGUCUCCUGUGCAAUCUGAGUUUUGUGUAUUGGGCUUUGGUUUGGGCUUAGGUUUUUUACGUUUUUUUGUUAUUUCCCUGCUAUCUGCACCAUAUGUCUUUGCUAUCAGCACCUGUUGCUUGCUCACUUUUUUACAAAAAAAUUCCUAAAAAAUCCUAGUUGUUUCUUGAUAUAUUUUUGGUAUUUCUAUGGUGUUUUUGCAUUAAAAAAAAUGGUAAAAUGGCAUGAAUUAAUUUCCAUGUGUGUUUACAUUUUUGGGUAUUAUUUUGGUUAUGUUUUUGUUCUUGACACUUUGAUGUGUGACAUGAACAAAUGAUACCCAAUCUUGUGAUGAAUACGCCCCUGGUCAUGUGCUUUCUUGCUGGUUUUUGGAUAUGAUUUUGUAAAUUUCUUAUUUUGCAAGCAACAAGUGUGUGUUUUAAGGAAUAAAGUGUCAAAUUCCUCUAGGAGUUUGGUGUGAUACUUUGCUUGCAUGUGUCUCUAUUAAUUCCACAUCAUGGCUUGAAACUAAAUCUCUUUCAAAAUCGCCAUGAUGUGAUGAUUAUGGGUCACAAGCACAUUUAGGUAUCAUAUCAAAUUUUUUAUAGGUUUUUACCAUUUUAUUACUUCCUUUUUGCUAUUCUUAUACAAUCUCUUUUUAUUUAUCUCGUACUAUUUCAUGCUUUAUGAUUACUAACCAUUUCAUCUCAUGUGACAUACAUUUCAUAGCAUCCCACUAUCUCCUCCACUUUCUUUAGCUUAGCAUUUAUUCUCUUUGCAAGUUUUAACUCAUUUGGUGAUGUAAUUUGUUAUCAUUGGUUUGUAGCUUGGCAAAGGGGCCAUAGAAUGUAUUUAGGCAAUUGUUGUAAUAUGGACUAUGGACACUAUGACGCACCGACACGCACACACUCACCUUAGAUGUAUGCAUAGGAUUGUAUGGUUAAAUAAGCGUUUAGGUUUUAAACACUUAGAGAAAAUCCAUCUUUUUCCAAAAAACAAUUGAACUUCACUUCAAAAAAUUUCAUAGUAAAUAUGAAGUCAACACUUCAUUUUUUUUCUUUUCUUUUUCUUAAGGAAAAUUCAAUUCAUCUUAACCAUUUAGACUUUCUUUCUAAUCACUAAUCAAACCUCACUUUUUUGCUAAAUCUAAUGCUCAUGAAGCCUCCCAAUCUCCUUCUUCAAAACCAUUUUCAAAACUUAAAAUCAAACAAUUAAAACAAAAACAAGUUUUUUAGCAAGAACUACGAACGGUUUUGAUCCCUUAAAAAGGGUACGUAGGCAAUGAGUCAAAACUCAUCCAAGCCGAAAUAAAAUUAAAUUCUACAACUUCUCUCCCCACAUUCUUAGCUAAAUAAACCUCCCAUUUUCAAAAGUAAGUAAAAAUAAGCGUGAAUAUAGACUUAGGAAAACGGCUCCUAUAGAGGACUAUAGUUACUCCGGGUGCCUAACACCUUCCCGUAGUAAAACCGACCCCCGAACUUAGAAUCUAAGGGUUUUUCUCAAUUUUUCCCUUCCCAAGAAAAAAGAGAGAUAUCAACGGUCGAAAGGUACAAGUCCAAUUAAUGGCUUGGCACCCAAAAACCAUGAUAACAGAAAUGGCGACUUCACUGGGGACUCAUUUUAGCGGGUCGCGCCUAGUUUUCUUUAGUUUAUAUUUACGCUUGUUUUAUUGCUUACAUAUGUGAAUAUUUGUUUACUUUCAUUCAACGUGUGGGGUGAGAAUAUCAAAAGUCCUAACCCGGGCUGAGUGAACUUAUGUUUAGGUAGAGAUAUAAUCGACAAUUCGAUCCGGGGGUUGCCUCGUGUAUUGGAUUAUGCGAUCAAUCUCACAUAGCUGAGGCAUUUUGAAGGUGAUAUUGUCGGCGUGUGUUGUCAUGCUUAGGCACUUCACUUUCAAUUGUUCGACGAAGCUAUGAACCGUAGUUACCAAACCCAUCCUAGCCUUUUUUAGGACGUAGUGCGGUGGCUAAAUUGAGUGUUGUCUCAAACUUUAGUCGUCACGCGAUACUACACUCAAACUAGACCUUCUCACAAAUAAUCAGGGAACGGGUGUCGUCCUGUACCACCAUGAUAUAUGUGAGAGAGGUUGCAGUUUGGGAACGGUGUUAGAACCUUGGUUACUACUAUCCAAAGCCUUAGUUCACCGGACGCCGUGUCCAUCCAUGGCCCUGUUACUUUGAAACUCAACCCACCUUGUUCUUUGUAACUAAACAAAACAAUCAUGCAUACAUGCAUUCAUGCAUAAACAUUUUUCAUGCAUUCAUCGAAGGGUUUAAACAAAUGAGAAUUUUUUGUAAAUAAUCACAGGUAUGAAGAAGACUAAGUGCUACAAGUUCAAGGAAGUGGAUCUGGUUGGUUUGAGAGAGUUGGCACUCAAGGUCAAGAGUCAAACAGGGUUCCGACUCCGGUAUGGGGGAUUGCUUACUUUGCUCCGAACCGAUGUGGAUGAGAAGCUAGUGCACACUCUAGUGCAAUUUUAUGAUCCGAGCUUCCGUUGCUUCACUUUCCCGGACUUCCAGUUGGUUCCUACUCUCGAGGCUUACUCCAAUCUAGUGGGUCUGCCUAUAGCCGAGAAGACACCUUUCACCGGUCCCGGGGCUCCUCUUACUCCUCUGGUUAUUGCUAAGGAUCUCCACCUCAAGACUUCCGACGUCUCCAACCAUCUUAUUACCAAGUCUCACAUCCGGGGGUUCACUUCAAAGUAUCUUCUUGAUCAGGCUAAUCUCAGUACUACUCGUCAGGAUACACUCGAGGCUAUUCUUGCUUUGCUUAUCUACGGGCUCAUUCUCUUCCCGAACCUCGACAACUUCGUGGACAUGAAUGCUAUCGAGAUCUUUCAUUCCAAGAACCCGGUUCCUACUUUGCUAGCGGAUACCUACCACGCCAUCCAUGACAGGACUCUCAAGGGCCGUGGGUAUAUUCUUUGCUGCACAUCUCUUUUGUAUAGGUGGUUUAUUUCGCACCUUCCGAGUUCCUUCCAUGAUAACUCGGAAAAUUGGUCCUACUCUCAGCGGAUUAUGGCUCUCACUCCUAAUGAGGUCGUCUGGCUCACUCCUGCCGCUCAAGUGAAGGAAAUCAUUAUGGGUUGUGGAGACUUUCUCAAUGUACCUCUUCUUGGUACUCGUGGAGGAAUCAACUACAAUCCCGAGCUUGCUAUGAGACAGUUUGGUUUCCCUAUGAAGUCGAAGCCCAUCAAUCUUGCCACAUCUCCAGAGUUCUUCUUCUACACGAAUGCUCCUACCGGACAAAGGAAAGCUUUCAUGGAUGCUUGGUCCAAGGUUCGAAGGAAAAGCGUGAGGCAUCUAGGUGUGAGAUCCGGUGUCACUCAUGAGGCCUAUACCCAGUGGGUGAUAGAUCGAGCUGAGGAGAUUGGUAUGCCUUAUCCAGCUAUGAGAUACGUGUCUUCGUCUACUCCAUCUAUGCCUCUACCUCUACUCCCCGCGACUCAGGAUAUGUAUCAGGAGCAUCUAGCUAUGGAGAGUCGUGAGAAGCAAGUGUGGAAAGCUCGGUACAAUCAAGCCGAGAAUCUAAUCAUGACUUUGGAUGGUAGAGAUGAGCAGAAGACUCAUGAGAAUCUAAUGUUGAAGAAAGAGCUAGCUAAGGCCCGGAGGGAAUUGGAAGAGAAAGACGAGCUGCUUAUGAGGGAUUCCAAGAGAGCUCGAGGACGACGAGAUUUCUUUGACAGAUACUGUGAUUCAGAUUCCGAGUCCGAUGAUCUUCCGACUACUUCCUAUGCUUGAGAGCUUUAUUUGUUUACUUUGUUGAAAAUGUUGUGUAAUUUUGAUUAUUUGCAAGAUUUCUAAUUUGUUUUAAAAUCCUUCGAUGAAAAAAAUAAGUCUUUUGCAUUCGCAUUUGCAUAUCAUGCAUCAUGUGCAUCAUACAUUGGUCACAAAGGCUUCCAAGUGCUCACUAUCUCCUGGUUCCUCUGCCGCAGUGUGAAAAGUGGCUCGUGCUCAGAGAGUUUACGAACCAGAUAGAACUGAUCGAACCAGAGAAUACAGAAGAAAGAAAAGGGCUAUGGAAGAAGAGAACGCUCAGCUUCGCACCGAGUUAGCCUCUCUAAAAGAGGAAUUGGCUAAAGCUAAUGACGUCAUGACUGCUCUACUAGCUGCUCAAGAGCAAUCAGCUACAGCUAUCCCUACAACCACAGCUGCACCAGUAACUACAAGCGUGCUCCCUACCACUUCUGCAGACAAUCGCUUUACUAUGCCAGUGGGGUUUCCGUAUGGGCUUCCACCGUUCUUCACUCCCGUUGCUACAGCAAGCACCUCGGGCACUGCUAACAAUGUUCUGAUCCCUGCAACAAAUGCCGCCUCCAUCAUUGCUACUUUGCCACAAACAACAGCAGCUGUCACUGAGCCUCUGGUACACACUCUGCCUCAAGGUAUUAACAUCAACACACAGCACAGAAGCAUCCCCGUAACCAAGACUAUGGAAGAGAUGAUGGAGGAACUUGCUAAAGAACUCCGUCACGAGAUCCAGGCCAAUCGAGGGAAUACCGACUCUGUCAAAACUCAAGACCUUUGCUUAGUGUCAAAAGUGGAUGUCCCUAAAAAGUUCAAGAUUCCGGACUUCGACCGGUACAACGGGCUAACUUGCCCUCAAAAUCACAUCAUCAAAUACGUCCGGAAGAUGGGCAAUUACAAAGACAAUGAUUCCCUUAUGAUCCACUGUUUUCAGGAUAGUCUGAUGGAGGAUGCCGCAGAGUGGUAUACUAGUUUGAGUAAGAAUGACAUCCAUACCUUUGAUGAGUUAGCCACCGCUUUCAAGAGCCAUUAUGGGUUUAACACUCGACUGAGGCCAAAUAGGGAGUUUCUCAGGUCCCUAUCUCAGAAGAAGGAGGAAAGUUUCCGUGAAUAUGCGCAAAGGUGGAGAGGGGCGGCUGCCCGUAUCACUCCUGCUUUAGAUGAGGAAGAAAUGACCCAGACAUUCUUAAAGACCUUGAAGAAAGAUUAUGUUGAGAGGAUGAUCAUCGCUGCCCCGAACAACUUUUCGGAGAUGGUCACUAUGGGAACCCGUCUUGAGGAAGCCGUCAGGGAUGGAAUUAUUGUGUUUGAGAAAGCUGAAUCUUCUGCGAGUGCCUCGAAGAGGUAUGGUAAUGGACACCACAAGAAGAAAGAAACGGAAGUGGGGAUGGUGUCAGCUGGAGCCGGUCAAUCAAUGGCUACUGUUGCUCCCAUCAAUGCAGCUCAAAUGCCUCCGCCAUACCCAUAUAUGCCGUAUUCUCAGCAUCCUUUCUUCCCGCCAUUUUAUCAUCAGUACCCUCUGCCACCGGGUCAACCUCAAGUGCCCGUCAAUGCAAUUGCUCAACAGAUGAAACAACAGAUGCCGGUUCAACAACAACAACAAAAUCAGCAAGCUAGGCCUACUUUCCCUCCGAUACCGAUGUUAUAUGCUGAGUUGCUUCCAACUUUACUCCAGAGAGGGCAUUGUACAACUAGACAGGGUAAGCCCCCACCUGAUCCGUUGCCUCCAAGGUUCAGGUCUGAUCUCAAAUGCGACUUUCAUCAAGGUGCCCUAGGUCAUGAUGUCGAGGGGUGUUAUGCUUUGAAAUAUAUCGUGAAGAAGCUCAUCGAUCAAGGGAAGCUGACUUUUGAGAAUAAUGUUCCACAUGUCCUUGACAAUCCGCUACCAAAUCAUGCCGCUGUGAAUAUGAUCGAAGUGUGUGAAGAAGCUCCGAGGCUUGAUGUCCGCAAUGUCGCAACUCCUCUGGUGCCUCUGCACAUCAAGCUGUGCAAAGCUUCUCUGUUCAGUCAUGAUCAUGCCAAGUGUCUGGGAUGUCUCCGUGAUCCUUUGGGUUGUUAUACUGUUCAAGAAGACAUCCAAAGCCUGAUGAAUGAUAAUCUUCUGACUGUCAGUGAUGUUUGCGUGAUUGUGCCGGUUUUUCACGAUCCGCCUGUCAAGAGUGUAACUUUGAAGAAGAAUGCUGAGCCUUUGGUGAUAAGGUUGCCAGGACCAAUUCCUUAUGUUUCGGAUAAGGCUGUUCCAUACAAGUACAAUGCUACUAUGAUAGAAAAUGGAGUAGAGGUGCCUCUAGCCUCCUUUGCCACAGUAAGCAAUAUUGCCGAAGGGACUUCUGCAGCACUAAGAAGCGGGAAGGUUCGUCCGCCGUUAUUUCAGAAAAAGGUAGCUACACCGACCAUUCCACCAGUUGAAGAAGCAACUCCAACCGUUGUUUCACCCAUUGCUACAGAUGUGAACCAGCCUGGCAAAUCUAUAGAGGAUUCGAAUUUAGAUGAGAUUCUGAGAAUAAUAAAGAGGAGCGACUACAAGAUCGUUGAUCAGUUGCUGCAGACUCCUUCGAAGAUAUCUGUCUUGUCAUUACUCUUGAGCUCUGAGGCUCACAGGAAUACCUUGUUGAAAGUGCUGGAGCAGGCUUAUGUUGACCACGAAGUUACGGUAGAUCGUUUCGGUGGCAUAGUGGGAAACAUUACUGCUUGUAACAACCUCUGGUUCAGUGAAGAAGAGUUGCCGGAAGCGGGAAAGAGUCACAAUCUGGCUUUGCACAUCUCGGUAAAUUGUAAAUCAGACAUGAUAUCAAAUGUGUUGGUGGAUACCGGUUCCUCUCUCAAUGUAAUGCCCAAGACGACUCUAGAUCAGUUGAGCUACCGUGGGACCCCGUUGAGGAGAAGUACUUUCUUGGUCAAAGCUUUUGAUGGAUCUCGAAAGAAUGUGCUGGGAGAGAUAGACUUGCCGAUAACCAUUGGCCCUGAGAAUUUCUUGGUUACUUUCCAGGUGAUGGACAUUAACGCAUCCUACAGUUGCCUGCUGGGAAGACCGUGGAUACACGAUGCAGGUGCGGUUACUUCCACCUUACAUCAGAAGUUGAAAUUUGUGAAGAAUGGAAAACUCGUUACAAUCCAUGGUGAAGAAGCGUACUUAGUCAGCCAGUUGUCUUCUUUUUCUUGUAUUGAAGCAGGGUCUGCUGAAGGGACUGCGUUCCAAGGUUUGACCAUUGAAGGUGCAGAGUCUAAGGAAGCUGGGGCCGCUAUGGCUUCAUUGAAGGAUGCUCAGAGAGCCAUCCAAGAAGGUCAGACUGCCGGCUGGGGCAAGGUGAUACAGCUCUGUGAGAACAAGCGUAAAGAAGGUCUCGGGUUCUCCCCGUCAUCAAGGGUUUCCUCGGGAGUCUUCCACAGUGCAGGGUUUGUUAAUGCUAUCUCUGAAGAAGCCACUGGAUCUGGUCUCAGGCCUGCAUUUGUUACACCAGGAGGCAUUGCGACAAAUUGGGAUGCCAUUGACAUUCCUUCAAUCAUGCAUGUUUCUGAGUAAUGUGUCUUGUUGCUUUAAUGCUUUGUUUUCAAAAUAACAAUCCUCUCGCUCUGCCCAAAGCGAGAGUGAUGUUUUCUGUAAGGGCAUGUUUGUUUCGGCAUUGCCGUUGAUUAAUAAAAUUUUGUCGUUUCUUCCACGACUACUUUUUUUAGUGCUUUUUCCCUUGGAAACAAUGGUAAUGCCAGAAAAAACCAAAACGUCUGUAUUUUCUUAUUAAUUUCAAAAAUCUGCAUGAAAAAAAAAACUCUUUCUAAAAUCAUCCAAUCAUUAUAUGCAGGUUGAACCAUAAUAAACCCGUUGAACACAGUAAUCCUGCGGUUCCUCCGAAUUUUGAAUUCCCUGUGUAUGAAGCCGAAGAUGAGGAAGGUGAUGACGUACCAUAUGAUAUCACUCGGUUACUUGAGCAAGAAAAGAAAGCCAUUCAGCCUCACCAGGAAGAAAUUGAGCUUAUCAACAUAGGUACCGAGGAAAACAAGCGAGAAAUCAAGAUUGGUGCUACUCUAGAGGAAGGGGUUAAACAGAAGAUCAUCCAACUCCUCCGGGAAUAUCCGGAUAUUUUUGCAUGGUCCUAUGAAGAUAUGCCAGGUUUAGACCCUAUGAUCGUGGAGCAUCGGAUCCCUACCAAGCCGGAAUGUCCUCCCGUCAGGCAGAAAUUGAGAAGGACUCAUCCUGACAUGGCCCUCAAGAUUAAGAGCGAGGUUCAAAAGCAGAUUGAUGCGGGUUUCCUCAUGACAGUUGAGUACCCUGAAUGGGUUGCCAAUAUUGUACCUGUGCCAAAGAAGGAUGGUAAAGUCCGGAUGUGUGUUGACUUCAGAGACCUGAACAAGGCCAGUCCAAAAGACAACUUUCCAUUACCUCAUAUUGAUGUGCUUGUUGAUAAUACUGCUCAAUCUAAGGUGUUCUCCUUCAUGGACGGUUUUUCCGGUUAUAAUCAAAUCAAAAUGUCUCCUGAAGAUAGAGAAAAGACAUCUUUUAUCACUCCAUGGGGUACCUUCUGCUACAAAGUGAUGCCGUUCGGCCUAAUCAAUGCUGGUGCUACCUACCAAAGGGGAAUGACCACUCUGUUUCAUGACAUGAUUCACAAAGAAGUCGAGGUAUAUGUGGAUGACAUGAUUGUGAAGUCAGCAGAUGAGGAGCAGCAUGUUGAAUAUUUAACAAAGAUGUUUGAAAGGUUGAGAAAAUACAAGCUGCGAUUGAAUCCCAACAAAUGUACAUUCGGCGUCAGAUCCGGCAAGUUGUUAGGCUUCGUUGUCAGCCAAAAGGGCAUUGAAGUCGAUCCUGAUAAAGUCCGGGCCAUCCGAGAAAUGCCAGCUCCACAGACAGAGAAGCAAGUCAGAGGUUUCUUGGGACGUUUGAAUUACAUCUCCCGAUUCAUAUCUCAUAUGACUGCAACCUGCGGGCCGAUCUUCAAGCUACUUAGAAAGAACCAGCCUGUUGUAUGGAAUGAUGAAUGCCAAGAAGCUUUUGAUAGCAUCAAGAAUUACCUGCUGGAACCACCUAUCCUUGUCCCUCCCGUGGAAGGAAGGCCUUUGAUUAUGUAUUUGGCAGUAUUUGACGAAUCCAUGGGAUGUGUACUUGGUCAACAAGAUGAAACCGGAAAGAAAGAGCAUGCUAUCUACUAUCUAAGCAAGAAGUUCACCGAUUGUGAAACUCGGUAUACAAUGCUUGAGAAGACUUGUUGUGCUCUAGCUUGGGCUGCUAAACGCCUGCGCCAUUAUUUGGUGAAUCAUACAACUUGGUUGAUAUCCAGAAUGGAUCCAAUAAAGUAUAUCUUUGAGAAAGCGGCCGUUACUGGGAAGAUCGCACGCUGGCAGAUGCUUUUGUCUGAAUAUGAUAUUGUGUUCAAAACUCAAAAGGCAAUCAAAGGCAGCAUUCUUGCCGAUCACCUGGCUUACCAGCCUCUCGAUGAUUAUCAACCAAUUGAAUUCGAUUUCCCUGAUGAAGAGAUCAUGUAUUUGAAAUCCAAAGACUGCAAAGAACCGUUGAUUGAUGAAGGUCCAGAUCCCAAUAGCAAGUGGGGUUUAGUCUUUGACGGUGCUGUCAAUGCUUAUGGUAAGGGAAUUGGGGCAGUCAUUGUAUCCCCGCAGGGGCAUCACAUUCCUUUUACCGCCAGAAUCUUGUUCGAAUGUACCAACAAUAUGGCUGAGUAUGAAGCAUGUAUCUUCGGGAUCGAGGAAGCAAUUGACAUGAGAAUCAAACACCUCGACAUCUAUGGAGAUUCUGCGCUCGUCAUCAAUCAGAUAAAGGGUGAAUGGGAGACCCACCAUGCUAAUUUGAUUCCUUAUCGUGAUUAUGCGAGACGUUUGCUGACAUAUUUUACAAAGGUUGAGCUGCACCAUAUUCCUCGUGAUGAGAACCAAAUGGCUGAUGCUCUUGCUACUCUAUCUUCCAUGUUUCGAGUGAACCAUUGGAAUGAUGUGCCAAUAAUCAAAGUGCAACGCCUUGAAAGACCUUCGCAUGUGUUUGCUAUUGGGGAUGUGAUCGAUCAGGCUGGUGAGAAUGUGGUUGACUAUAGACCCUGGUACUAUGACAUCAAGCAGUUCUUGCUGAGCCGUGAGUAUCCGCCAGGUGCUUCCAAACAAGACAAGAAGACCUUGAGAAGAUUGGCCAGUAGAUUCCUGUUAGAUGGAGAUAUUCUGUACAAGAGAAACUACGACAUGGUAUUGUUAAGAUGUGUUGAUGAACAUGAAGCAGAGCAGUUAAUGCAUGAUGUACAUGACGGUACCUUCGGGACCCAUGCUACAGGGCAUACUAUGUCAAGAAAGUUGCUACGGGCAGGUUACUACUGGAUGACUAUGGAGCAUGAUUGCUACCAGUACGCCAGAAAAUGUCACAAAUGUCAAAUCUAUGCUGAUAAGAUUCAUGUGCCUCCGCACGCUCUCAAUGUUAUGUCAUCCCCAUGGCCGUUCUCAAUGUGGGGCAUCGAUAUGAUCGGAAGGAUUGAACCGAAGGCUUCAAAUGGUCAUCGUUUCAUCUUAGUAGCAAUUGACUACUUCACCAAGUGGGUCGAAGCAGCAUCUUAUACCAAUGUGACCAAGCAAGUGGUAGCUAAGUUUAUCAAGAACAACCUCAUCUGUCGAUAUGGUGUUCCCAGCAAGAUUAUUACCGACAACGGUACCAACCUGAACAACAAUGUGGUGCAAGCUCUUUGUGAAGAAUUCAAAAUUGAGCAUCAUAACUCUUCUCCUUAUAGACCUCAGAUGAAUGGUGCAGUUGAGGCCGCCAACAAAAAUAUCAAGAGAAUCGUCCAGAAGAUGGUAACUACUUACAAGGACUGGCAUGAGAUGUUACCCUAUGCUCUGCAUGGCUACCGCACUACCGUGCGCAGUUCAACCGGGGCAACUCCUUUCUCUCUUGUAUAUGGUAUGGAAGCAGUUCUUCCUUUGGAAGUGGAGAUCCCAUCUCUCCGUGUGAUCAUGGAAGCAAAGUUAUCCGAGGCUGAAUGGUGCCAAAGCCGGUAUGAUCAGUUGAAUUUGAUUGAGGAAAAACGUAUGGAUGCCAUGGCUCGUGGACAGUCAUAUCAAGCAAGAAUGAAGACUGCCUUUGACAAGAAAGUCCAUCCUCGAGAAUUCAAGGUAGGGGAACUUGUAUUGAAAAGGAGGAUAGGCCAGCAACCCGACCCAAGGGGCAAGUGGACGCCUAACUAUGAAGGUCCUUAUGUUGUCAAGAAGGCCUUCUCCGGUGGUGCUUUAAUCCUUACACACAUGGAUGGUAUAGAACUUCCAAAUCCAGUGAAUGCCGAUAUAGUCAAGAAAUACUUUGCCUAGAAAUAUGAAAAGAACAGCGUGGUAGGUCGAAAACCCGAAAGGGCGGCCUAGGCAAAAAUGCGCUUCCCGGUGGAUCGAAAACCCGAAAGGGCGGUCCAGGCAAAAAUAAGGGACAAAAAAAAAAUAUAUAUGAAAAGCUCGCUGAGAUUGUACACAACUCAGGCAAGAAUGAGCGUCUCGAUGAGCCGAAAACCCGGAAGGGCGGUUCAUGCAAAAAUGAGAUUGAAACAAAAGGCAAGUAACUAUAUCUGACCAACCACCGUCCCCCUUGGGACAUCUGCUGCUGUUAAUGACUAUCUUCAUCUAAAGCUCCUACGCUUGCGAAUUCAAAGUUUCCAGGAAGUGUAAUGAUUGCUGUGUUCAAUGUACCACCAACCAAUAAAAUUACCAUUUUCCAAGCUUNNNNNNNNNNNNNNNNNNNNNNNNNNNNNNNNNNNNNNNNNNNNNNNNNNNNNNNNNNNNNNNNNNNNNNNNNNNNNNNNNNNNNNNNNNNNNNNNNNNNCAUUCUUAGCUAAAUAAACCUCCCAUUUUCAAAAGUAAGUAAAAAUAAGCGUGAAUAUAGACUUAGGAAAACGGCUCCUAUAGAGGACUAUAGUUACUCCGGGUGCCUAACACCUUCCCGUAGUAAAACCGACCCCCGAACUUAGAAUCUAAGGGUUUUUCUCAAUUUUUCCCUUCCCAAGAAAAAAGAGAGAUAUCAACGGUCGAAAGGUACAAGUCCAAUUAAUGGCUUGGCACCCAAAAACCAUGAUAACAGUCCUGUUCCCCAAUAAUAACAAGACACAUGUCUUUUUUAAUUAAAAAUUAAAGAAAUAGUUUAUCUUCUUCAUUGAUCUGUCUCAAUUGUUUUUACGCAGCAGAGUCAGUCUCAAUUUCUUCUUACCUCUUUCACAUGGUUCUUCUUGGAUAAAUUGGCUAUAUCCUUCUUUUCAGAAUUGUGAUCGUCCCAUGUGGCCAAAUUAAAUCCUUGAAUCCAGUAUCAAUGGCGACAACUAGCAAAGGUUGAACUUCCACCUUCAUUCCUUCCAACACGAACUACUAUUGGCAUCCUCAACUCUCUCACCAACUGCCGUUUCCAGUGAAAGAUAAUUGUCAGCCACAAGUUCCGUUAGCCGCCGUGAUGCUCAUAACCAUGCCUAGUCUUCCAGUAACAAAGUUCCCCGCAUACUUAGGUUACCAUUCUUAAUGUUAUAGGAUUCCACGUUUGUAUUAAGAGUAAGGAAAAAUCAAGCAAUGUGUUCCCUUCAUAGAGAUACAUACCAGAAUGGUUAAUUUAAAACUGCAAAUAAAGUUUUUGACGGUAACCAGAAUGAAUUGGCGAUGAAAACUACAAAUAAAAUUGAUUUUUUUGUUUGUUUGUAUAAGCCGCCACAUGUUAUUUUCUGAU
Molecule: long non-coding RNA, 15014 nt
Filed under: Medicago truncatula (barrel medic)
Lineage: Eukaryota; Viridiplantae; Streptophyta; Magnoliopsida; Fabales; Fabaceae
Description: long non-coding RNA (MTRU_LNC000265)
Source: RNAcentral